GACGAACGCUGGCGGCGUGCUUAACACAUGCAAGUCGAGCGGUAAGGCCCUUUCGGGGGUACACGAGCGGCGAACGGGUGAGUAACACGUGGGUGACCUGCCCUCAGCUCUGGGAUAAGCCUGGGAAACCGGGUCUAAUACCGGAUAUGACUCCAUGACGCAUGUUGUGGGGUGGAAAGCCUUGUGCGGCUGAGGAUGGGCCCGCGGCCUAUCAGCUUGUUGGUGGGGGAUGGCCUACCAAGGCGACGACGGGUAGCCGGCCUGAGAGGGCGACCGGCCACACUGGGACUGAGACACGGCCCAGACUCCUACGGGAGGCAGCAGUGGGGAAUCUUGCGCAAUGGGCGAAGGCCUGACGCAGCGACGCCGCGUGAGGGAUGACGGCCU
This 387-nucleotide ribosomal RNA is filed under the name uncultured bacterium. RNAcentral describes it as "bacterial SSU rRNA". It matches the Rfam family "Bacterial small subunit ribosomal RNA", at positions 28 to 417 of the family's 1533-position model. The record is from RNAcentral.